This 497-nucleotide ribosomal RNA is filed under the name uncultured bacterium. Its description in RNAcentral is "partial 16S ribosomal RNA". It matches the Rfam family "Bacterial small subunit ribosomal RNA", at positions 28 to 507 of the family's 1533-position model. The record is from RNAcentral.
GAUGAACGCUGGCGGCGUGCCUAAUACAUGCAAGUCGAGCGAACGGACGAGAAGCUUGCUUCUCUGAUGUUAGCGCCGGACGGGUGAGUAACACGUGGAUAACCUACCUAUAAGACUGGGAUAACUUCGGGAAACCGGAGCUAAUACCGGAUAAUAUUUUGAACCGCAUGGUUCAAAAGUGAAAGACGGUCUUGCUGUCACUUAUAGAUGGAUCCGCGCUGCAUUAGCUAGUUGGUAAGGUAACGGCUUACCAAGGCAACGAUGCAUAGCCGACCUGAGAGGGUGAUCGGCCACACUGGAACUGAGACACGGUCCAGACUCCUACGGGAGGCAGCAGUAGGGAAUCUUCCGCAAUGGGCGAAAGCCUGACGGAGCAACGCCGCGUGAGUGAUGAAGGUCUUCGGAUCGUAAAACUCUGUUAUUAGGGAAGAACAUAUGUGUAAGUAGCUGUGCACAUCUUGACGGUACCUAAUCAGAAAGCCACGGCUAACUACGUG